UACGGAGGGUGCAAGCGUUAUCCGGAUUCACUGGGGUUAAAGGGUGCGUAGGUGGGCAGGUAAGUCAGUGGUGAAAUCUCUGGGCUUAACUCAGAAACUGCCAUUGAUACUGGCGGGCUUGAGUACAGACGAGGUAGGCGGAAUUGAUUGUGUAGCGGUGAAAUGCAUAGAUACAAUCAAGAACACCGAUUGCGUAGGCAGCUUACUAGGCUGUAACUGACGCUGAGGCACGAAAGCGUGGAGAGCGAACAGG
RNAcentral lists this ribosomal RNA (253 nucleotides) under uncultured bacterium. RNAcentral's name for it is "partial 16S ribosomal RNA". It matches the Rfam family "Bacterial small subunit ribosomal RNA", at positions 524 to 776 of the family's 1533-position model. The record is from RNAcentral.